UACAGAGGUCCCGAGCGUUGUUCGGAUUUAUUGGGCGUAAAGGGCGCGUAGGCGGCCUCCGCAAGUCGACUGUGAAAUCUCCGGGCUUAACCCGGAACGGUCAGCCGAUACUGCGGGGCUAGAGUGCAGAAGGGGCAACUGGAAUUCUCGGUGUAGCGGUGAAAUGCGUAGAUAUCGAGAGGAACACCUGCGGCGAAGGCGGGUUGCUGGGCUGACACUGACGCUGAUGCGCGAAAGCUAGGGGAGCGAACGGG
This 254-nucleotide ribosomal RNA is filed under the name uncultured bacterium. Its description in RNAcentral is "partial 16S ribosomal RNA". It matches the Rfam family "Bacterial small subunit ribosomal RNA", at positions 524 to 776 of the family's 1533-position model. The record is from RNAcentral.